GCCCUUGUAGUAUAAGUCAAUACACUGGCCUUGUAAACCAAAAAUGGAACACUCCCUCCUCCCUA
Molecule: transfer RNA, 65 nt
Filed under: Cercocebus torquatus (collared mangabey)
Lineage: Eukaryota; Metazoa; Chordata; Mammalia; Primates; Cercopithecidae
Description: tRNA-Thr
Source: RNAcentral